UAAAUAUAAUAGCAUUUCGCAGACCCUAAAAAUAGAAAUAUUUCCGGAGGACUAUGCCCCCGAAUUGCCGGACGAUUAAACCCCCUACUUGUUUAGGGCCGGCUACGCUCCUGUCCUAACCCUGUCUGUACACAUCCCUAACCGUUACACGGCAAAUAAAGUAACUUUUUUUCUUCUUUCAAUCAUGUAUAAGUGUCGAUAAAUUUAAUACUGGCCACAAUGUGAGGCCGAAGUAGUAUUGUACAAUGCAGCUGCGGUAGUUUGUCUCUGAUCUACUUGAAAAUAUAUCCCAAGAUAUCAACAUUUUGUUGGCAUCUUACUGGCGAUUGAAUAUAGUUGAAGGGUCUUGUAGAUGGAAAUUAUCGAUUGGAAAUUUAUAUACAUUUAUUAGACCUAACCAGGAACAUCUGCGAAAAAAUGCAACUUUAUAUAUAUUAUAUCUUAUUGGAUUCUUCUGAGCCCAAUAGGCAAUAUGGAAAAAUAUUAGGUCGAGACUUCAAUAUUGGGCGAGACCGAAGGUCGAGCCUAAUACUGAAGUCGAGACUUAAUAUUUUGCCAUAUUGGGCGAAGAUGAAUCCAACAAGAGUUUUAUUCAGCAAGAAUACUACA
Molecule: non-coding RNA, 609 nt
Organism: Paramuricea clavata
Lineage: Eukaryota; Metazoa; Cnidaria; Anthozoa; Malacalcyonacea; Plexauridae
Source: the annotation of a GenBank genome assembly